RNAcentral lists this ribosomal RNA (400 nucleotides) under phytoplankton environmental sample. RNAcentral describes it as "partial small subunit ribosomal RNA". It matches the Rfam family "Eukaryotic small subunit ribosomal RNA", at positions 587 to 985 of the family's 1831-position model. The record is from RNAcentral.
AGCUCCAAUAGCGUAUAUUAAAGUUGUUGCAGUUAAAAAGCUCGUAGUUGGAUUUCUGGGGACGCGAGUUGGCCUUCUCCGCAAGGAGAUUGAGCCGCACUUCGCAUUCUCAUCCUCGGGUGGGUCCCUUCUGGCAUUAGGUUGUCGGUAGGGGGAAGCCCGUCGUUUACUGUGAACAAAUUAGAGUGUUCAAAGCAGGCUUAUGCCAUUGAAUACAUUAGCAUGGAAUAAUGAGAUAGGACCAUGGCGUUUUAUUUCGUUGGUUUGCGCGCCAAGGUAAUGAUUAAUAGGGACAGUUGGGGGUAUUCGUAUUCAAUUGUCAGAGGUGAAAUUCUUGGAUUUAUGGAAGACGAACAACUGCGAAAGCAUUUACCAAGGAUGUUUUCAUUAAUCAAGAACG